CCUACGGGCGGCAGCAGUGGGGGAUAUUGCACAAUGGGCGAAAGCCUGAUGCAGCGACGCCGCGUGCGGGAAGACGGUCUUCGGAUUGUAAACCUCUGUCUUGGGGGAAGAAAAUGACGGUACCCAAAGAGGAAGCUCCGGCUAACUACGGGCCAGCAGCCGCGGAAAUACGUAGGGAGCAAGCUUUGUCCGGAAUUACUGGGUGAAAGGGGAGCGUAGGCGGGAUGGCAAGUAGAUUGUUAAAUCCAUGGGCUCAACCGGUGGUUGCAUUCUAAACUGCCGUUCUUGAGUGAAGUAGAGGCAGCCGGAAUUCAUAGUGUAGCGGUGAAAUGCGUAGAUAUUAGGAGGAACACCAGUGGCGAAGGCGACCUGCUGGGCUUUAACUGACGCUGAGGCUCGAAAGCGUGGGGAGCAAACAGGAUUAGAUACCCGUGUAGUC
This 439-nucleotide ribosomal RNA is filed under the name uncultured bacterium. Its description in RNAcentral is "partial 16S ribosomal RNA". It matches the Rfam family "Bacterial small subunit ribosomal RNA", at positions 338 to 795 of the family's 1533-position model. The record is from RNAcentral.